Molecule: ribosomal RNA, 188 nt
Filed under: Pseudomonas aeruginosa
Lineage: Bacteria; Pseudomonadati; Pseudomonadota; Gammaproteobacteria; Pseudomonadales; Pseudomonadaceae
Description: partial 16S ribosomal RNA
Rfam family: Bacterial small subunit ribosomal RNA
Source: RNAcentral
AGCAGUAUUGAACUGAAGAGUUUGAUCAUGGCUCAGAUUGAACGCUGGCGGCAGGCCUAACACAUGCAAGUCGAGCGGAUGAAGGGAGCUUGCUCCUGGAUUCAGCGGCGGACGGGUGAGUAAUGCCUAGGAAUCUGCCUGGUAGUGGGGGAUAACGUCCGGAAACGGGCGCUAAUACCGCAUACGUC